CUCAGUGGAUCGCGUCCCUUCUCCCGCGCUCGGGCACUGGCCCGCCGGCGGCUCUGCGCUUGCGCACGCUCCCCGCACCGUAGCGCGCGCGUCGGGCCGCCCCUCUGGCACGCCCUCCCCGGCUUCACCUUGGGCCCGCGGCGAGGUCUCGGCCCCUGCGGCUCGCGCGCUGCCCGGGCCGGACGGCGGCGCCUGGCGGGAGCGCGCCCGGGGGGGACGGCGCAGGCGUGGAGUUUCCGGACGCAGCGUCCGUCCCGCUGACUUCCCGCGUGGGGCCCGAGUUUCCGAGCGGCUCACCCACCGCUUCCUGCCGGGUGGCUUAUUGUUCUCUUCCAGCUGCCUGGGCAGGUGGCCGCGCCCCGCUUUUCGGCGUACUUGCUCCGCGCAUUUCGCUUCCGGGGUGCUGACACCCACAGCAGCUGGGUCUUAACCCAGGCCUUUAGUUUUCACCCUUUGCGUAGGUGGUGUCACUGAAUUGCUCUGGCGGGGCUGGAACUCUUGAUACUCCUGCUCCAACUCCCAGAGUGCUUGGGAUUACAGAACUUUUAGCAGUAACCAACAGCCGGCUACAGCAUGCAGGCCAUGGGUUUACCACCACUGCCCUGUGCUAUCUCAGACACAAUCACCUUCCUCAGUUCCCGGAGCACGACCUGCAUGCCUGUUGGAGUGAUUGUCAGCCUGUGAGAGCCUCUGGAAACCAUGAUUCUCUUCUGCUCAGUGAGCCCGACGUGGGAGCGAGACCUGCAGUACUGUCCUGGGCGAGGCUCAUUCCCAGUGUGUUCUUGAAGAGCAAGUUUGGGUCGUGUCACUUCUCCACUCAGAGCCCUAAUGGCCCCUCAUCUCACUUGGAAGAAGCCCAAGAUCUCUGCCACAGCCUUGUGAGCGGGCUCCUGCUCCCUGUCAGAUCUCUUACCGUUCUCUCACCCUCACUCAAGCCUCGCUGGAAGCCGUGCUGGGCCUCACACACAAGAGCCUCUUGCUUCACAGUCUAUGUGUUGAGUUCCUGUGUGUAGACCACGCCUCUCCCAGAUCCACACAAAGCUCACCUUCUCAGGGGUUCUGCUCAGAUUUCCUGUCCAAUCAGCUUUUCUGAAUGUUCUUCCAAGAGCAGCCAGUUCAGACCCUUCCCAGCCAUUCUGACCCCUCUUACUGUGAUUAGUUUUUCUCACCACCUGAAAUAUUACUUGUUUAUUGCCGUCUCCCUGCACUAAACAUGAGGCUUCAAGAGAGCAGGCACUUGAUUCCGUUCCCAGCUCCUGGACAGCGCUAGC
Molecule: long non-coding RNA, 1271 nt
Filed under: Heterocephalus glaber (naked mole-rat)
Lineage: Eukaryota; Metazoa; Chordata; Mammalia; Rodentia; Bathyergidae
Description: lncRNA (ENSHGLG00000048865.1)
Source: RNAcentral